This 493-nucleotide ribosomal RNA is filed under the name uncultured bacterium. Its description in RNAcentral is "partial 16S ribosomal RNA". It matches the Rfam family "Bacterial small subunit ribosomal RNA", at positions 29 to 523 of the family's 1533-position model. The record is from RNAcentral.
AUUGAACGCUGGCGGCAUGCUUUACACAUGCAAGUCGAACGGUAACAGGUUAAGCUGACGAGUGGCGAACGGGUGAGUAAUGCAUCGGAACGUGCCCGGUCGUGGGGGAUAACGCAGCGAAAGCUGCGCUAAUACCGCAUACGAUCUGAGGAUGAAAGCGGGGGACCGUAAGGCCUCGCGCGAUCGGAGCGGCCGAUGUCAGAUUAGGUAGUUGGUGGGGUAAAGGCUCACCAAGCCGACGAUCUGUAGCUGGUCUGAGAGGACGACCAGCCACACUGGGAAUGAGACACGGCCCAGACUCCUACGGGAGGCAGCAGUGGGGAAGUUUGGACAAUGGGCGCAAGCCUGAUCCAGCAAUGCCGCGUGCAGGAAGAAGGCCGUCGGGUUGUAAACUGCUUUUGUACGGAGCGAAAAGGCUCUCUCUAAUACAGGGGGCUCAUGACGGUACCGUAAGAAUAAGCACCGGCUAACUACGUGCCAGCCGCCGCAGUAA